This 75-nucleotide transfer RNA is filed under the name Chryseobacterium sp. RNAcentral describes it as "tRNA-Thr". It matches the Rfam family "tRNA". Rfam says of the family: Transfer RNA (tRNA) molecules are approximately 80 nucleotides in length. Their secondary structure includes four short double-helical elements and three loops (D, anti-codon, and T loops). Further hydrogen bonds mediate the characteristic L-shaped molecular structure. tRNAs have two regions of fundamental functional importance: the anti-codon, which is responsible for specific mRNA codon recognition, and the 3' end, to which the tRNAs corresponding amino acid is attached (by aminoacyl-tRNA synthetases). tRNAs cope with the degeneracy of the genetic code in two manners: having more than one tRNA (with a specific anti-codon) for a particular amino acid; and 'wobble' base-pairing, i.e. permitting non-standard base-pairing at the 3rd anti-codon position. Lineage: Bacteria; Pseudomonadati; Bacteroidota; Flavobacteriia; Flavobacteriales; Weeksellaceae. The record is from RNAcentral.
GCCGACUUAGCUCAGUGGUAGAGUGCUUCCUUGGUAAGGAAGAGGUCACGGGUUCAAAUCCCGUAGUUGGCUCUA